RNAcentral lists this transfer RNA (72 nucleotides) under Camelus bactrianus (Bactrian camel). It matches the Rfam family "tRNA". Rfam says of the family: Transfer RNA (tRNA) molecules are approximately 80 nucleotides in length. Their secondary structure includes four short double-helical elements and three loops (D, anti-codon, and T loops). Lineage: Eukaryota; Metazoa; Chordata; Mammalia; Artiodactyla; Camelidae. The record is from Rfam by way of RNAcentral. RNAcentral also lists the same sequence under 2 other names.
GAGGGUAUAGUUCAGUGGUAGGGUGAAUGCUUAGCAUGCAUGAGGUUCUGGGUUCAAUCCUCAGUAUCUCUC